Molecule: ribosomal RNA, 484 nt
Filed under: uncultured bacterium
Lineage: Bacteria
Description: partial 16S ribosomal RNA
Rfam family: Bacterial small subunit ribosomal RNA
Source: RNAcentral
AGUGAACGCUGGCAGCGUGCUUAACACAUGCAAGUCGAACGAGAACGGAUUAUAGCUUGCUAUAAUUGUCAGCUAAGUGGCGCACGGGUGAGUAAUGUAUAGGUAAUAUGCCUCUUACUAAGGGAUAACAAAUGGAAACGUUUGCUAAUACCUUAUACUCCUUAUUAACAGAAGUUAAUAAGGGAAAGAUUUAUUGGUAAGAGAUUAGCCUGUGUUGUAUCAGUUAGUUGGUGGGGUAAUGGCUUACCAAGACUAUGACACAUAACUGGUUUGAGAGGAUGAUCAGGCACACUGGAACUGAGACACGGUCCAGACUCCUACGGGAGGCAGUAGUGGGGAAUAUUGCACAAUGGACGAAAGUCUGAUGCAGCAACGCCGCGUGGAGGAUGACACAUUUCGGUGCGUGAACUCCUUUUAUAUGAGAAGAUAAUGACGGUAUUAUAUGAAUAAGCACCGGCUAACUCCGUGCCAGCCGCCGCAGUAA